AACGAACGCUGGCGGCAGGCUUAACACAUGCAAGUCGAACGGUUGUAGCAAUACAGCAGUGGCAGACGGGUGAGUAACACGUGGGAACCUUCCUAGGGGUACGGAACAACUCAGGGAAACUUGAGCUAAUACCGUAUACGUCCGUGAGGAGAAAGUUUUAACGCCCCUAGACGGGCCCGCGUAGGAUUAGGUAGUUGGUGGGGUAACGGCUCACCAAGGCGACGAUCGGUAGGUGGUCUGAGAGGACGAUCACCCAGACUGGGACUGAGACACGGCCCAGACUCCUACGGGAGGCAGCAGUCGGGAAUUUUGCGCAAUGGACGAAAGUCUGACGCAGCAACGCCGCGUGAGGGAUGAAGGCC
Molecule: ribosomal RNA, 362 nt
Filed under: uncultured bacterium
Lineage: Bacteria
Description: bacterial SSU rRNA
Rfam family: Bacterial small subunit ribosomal RNA
Source: RNAcentral